This 143-nucleotide ribosomal RNA is filed under the name Bacillus spizizenii. RNAcentral's name for it is "partial 16S ribosomal RNA". It matches the Rfam family "Bacterial small subunit ribosomal RNA", at positions 1 to 140 of the family's 1533-position model. The record is from RNAcentral. Lineage: Bacteria; Bacillati; Bacillota; Bacilli; Caryophanales; Bacillaceae. RNAcentral also lists the same sequence under 1 other name.
UUAUCGGAGAGUUUGAUCCUGGCUCAGGACGAACGCUGGCGGCGUGCCUAAUACAUGCAAGUCGAGCGGACAGAUGGGAGCUUGCUCCCUGAUGUUAGCGGCGGACGGGUGAGUAACACGUGGGUAACCUGCCUGUAAGACUG